RNAcentral lists this ribosomal RNA (253 nucleotides) under uncultured bacterium. RNAcentral's name for it is "partial 16S ribosomal RNA". It matches the Rfam family "Bacterial small subunit ribosomal RNA", at positions 524 to 776 of the family's 1533-position model. The record is from RNAcentral.
UACGUAGGGGGCAAGCGUUGUCCGGAUUUAUUGGGCGUAAAGAGCGUGUAGGCGGCCAGACAGGUCAGCUGUGAAAACUCGGGGCUCAACCUCGAGACGUCGGUUGAAACCGUCUGGCUAGAGUCCGGAAGAGGAGAGUGGAAUUCCCGGUGUAGCGGUGAAAUGCGCAGAUAUCGGGAAGAACACCCGUGGCGAAGGCGGCUCUCUGGGACGGUACUGACGCUGAGACGCGAAAGCGUGGGGAGCGAACAGG